RNAcentral lists this ribosomal RNA (433 nucleotides) under uncultured bacterium. Its description in RNAcentral is "partial 16S ribosomal RNA". It matches the Rfam family "Bacterial small subunit ribosomal RNA", at positions 28 to 507 of the family's 1533-position model. The record is from RNAcentral.
GACGAACGCUGGCGGCAUGCCUAACACAUGCAAGUCGAACGAGACCUUCGGGUCUAGUGGCGCACGGGUGCGUAACGCGUGGGAAUCUGCCCUUGGGUUCGGAAUAACAGUUGGAAACGACUGCUAAUACCGGAUGAUGACGUAAGUCCAAAGAUUUAUCGCCCAAGGAUGAGCCCGCGUAGGAUUAGCUAGUUGGUGAGGUAAAGGCUCACCAAGGCGACGAUCCUUAGCUGGUCUGAGAGGAUGAUCAGCCACACUGGGACUGAGACACGGCCCAGACUCCUACGGGAGGCAGCAGUGGGGAAUAUUGGACAAUGGGCGAAAGCCUGAUCCAGCAAUGCCGCGUGAGCGAUGAAGGCCUUAGGGUUGUAAAGCUCUUUUACCCGGGAUGAUAAUGACAGUACCGGGAGAAUAAGCUCCGGCUAACUCCGUG